Molecule: long non-coding RNA, 901 nt
Organism: Acanthochromis polyacanthus (spiny chromis)
Lineage: Eukaryota; Metazoa; Chordata; Actinopteri; Pomacentridae
Exons: 3
Source: RefSeq, a predicted model, not a curated record
GUAAACUUUUGAGGGUUUAUUGUUCUGUAUUGUUUGGCAAUUUCACUCUCAAUAUGUCAAUAUAUAAUUAAUAUGCAACCAAACUACUGUGCAGUUAACAGCAAUUCUCUCAAUAAAGCAGUUUGUACAGAAAUCAGCAUAUGGUUAAAGUUGGAAAUUUGGAAACAAAAAAGAAAUUUGCUCAUAGCGUGUGCAGCGACUGAUGGCCAAAACGUCAUUCUUACACAACUGUGACCUUCAGCCACCUCUGAUAUCUAAUUUAGGAAAAAUCCACUUCACAUUUUGUUCCUGGAAACAGCCACGUCAGCUGUUUAUCAGCACUGUCAGCAAAUAUUCAGCCACACGUUUAAGGACAUUAUUUCAACCUGAGCUAGCUCACAGACAGAUUCAGACAGGUGUCUUAGCAGCGAGCCAGGCUGAAACCAAAGUACAGAGACAAGAUCACAGGACGGGGUCAUCAGUCCAUAGUCCGCCUCAACCUUCACCAACCAAACAUCUGUUUCAUGUUCGUCUCCCUGCGUGCACACAUGAACAUCCACAUGUGUGCACAGUCAUGCCGAGUUGAAAAGGUUGUGUACUGAUUUUCUGCCGAGUAGAGCGGAGGAACAGAAGACGGCGUGAAGAAAGACGUGAGAGCGAACAGAAGAGACAAGAAAACAAUGUGCCCUUGAGUACUUUGAAUAGAGAUUUCAGAGCUGCUCACACUGUGAAGGAGUGGAUAAAGAGUGCAUGGGAAGCAAGUUUACAACCUUUUUUCCAACCAUUACCUGCCCAUCAGCCGGAUUGGACGAGGACCAAACUUGUCCAUCAGGAUGCCGAGCGGCAGCGUUGCGGCGCUCAGCAAGAAGGACCCAAUGGUGAAGCCCAGAUUCAGCAUCUCAUCUUGGUCCACACAGCUCAC